UAGGGAAUCUUCGGCAAUGGGGGCAACCCUGACUGAGCAACGCCGCGUGAGUGAAGAAGGUUUUCGGAUCGUAAAGCUCUGUUGUAAGAGAAGAACGUGUGUGAGAGUGGAAAGUUCACACAGUGACGGUAACUUACCAGAAAGGGACGGCUAACUACGUGCCAGCAGCCGCGGUAAUACGUAGGUCCCGAGCGUUGUCCGGAUUUAUUGGGCGUAAAGCGAGCGCAGGCGGUUUAAUAAGUCUGAAGUUAAAGGCAGUGGCUUAACCAUUGUUCGCUUUGGAAACUGUUAAACUUGAGUGCAGAAGGGGAGAGUGGAAUUCCAUGUGUAGCGGUGAAAUGCGUAGAUAUAUGGAGGAACACCGGUGGCGAAAGCGGCUCUCUGGUCUGUAACUGACGCUGAGGCUCGAAAGCGUGGGGAGCAAACAGG
RNAcentral lists this ribosomal RNA (429 nucleotides) under bacterium. RNAcentral's name for it is "partial 16S ribosomal RNA". It matches the Rfam family "Bacterial small subunit ribosomal RNA", at positions 355 to 776 of the family's 1533-position model. The record is from RNAcentral.